AUGAGGAAACCGGCGAGUUGAACUUAAGGGGCGACUUAAAGUCCCUGAUAUUUCAAAAGGAGUCCUAUUCUUACCGUCCCUUGAAACUACAACAUAGUGUGUGUCAUGACACCACGGCGUUGCAUUCAUUCAAACGAGAGGAGAGACCCUACAUCACACGCCACCUAUCUUCACGGGGAGGGAUAAUUGAGGCGCACCAAACGUGAGCAUCCUCUGGAAAACGUGAUCAAGUUUUUUUUUUCCUCUCUCUCUCUUCUUUUUUAUGAUCCGGGAGAAAUGAGCUGAGUCGGAUUACCUUGCAAUCCAAGCAAGGAUAAUAUUUGGAGGAAGUUGGAGCUCCCCCAGUCCUGCCCCAGCCUCCAGAGCCGUCACGACAAAAGGGGAUCGAGCGGAAAUCGUGCCGCAGCGGCUUGUGACCCUCAGCGUCCACAGCGCCGAAAUAUCUGCUUACUUACGUCUGAGUGUCUGCCAGCGCGUCUCUGUGAUUAUUCAUUCGCUCAUACGAACACCUUCGUUUUUUAUUACACACCAAUUACUGUAACACCGUCGUUUCGACUUGUACCUCUGUAUUCGUUUGCCUUUACUUGCAUUUAUUUAUUUAUUUAUUUAUUUUCCUAUUUAUUUGUUUGUUUAAUUAUUUAUAUUUAUUGUUGAUUUUGUUAUUUUAAUUUUUUGUAACGGGUUACAUUUUCGCGCUGUUUGUAAACUGAAACUAAAUGUGACGUAUUUCCCUUUUCUCUUGUUUCACAUUUUGAUGAUUACUUUUUUGUUUUGUUUUGCUUUGCUUGGCUUUGCUUUGUUUUGUUGUGUUUUGUUUUGCUGCGUUGUGUUUUAUUAGCCAUACCAGAAUUUGACUGCAUAUGACAGGUAAUGGCUCCGUGGUAGCCUAAUUAAGUUAAUUGCUGUAUAGUGCAAUUAUUUUAUCUAAAUAAUCAAAAAUUAAAUGAAUGUAAGGGGAGAUAGAAAUAUGUAAAAUAAAUUAAUUUAUAAUAUAUCUAAAAUGUGCAUCGUGACCUCGCGUGCACUGUUAAAUAUUGAGAGAAAUAUUGCUGAGCACCGUUACUGGCAAACGGGCGUGUUAUUACGUUAACGGGUGUGGUUGUAACUUAUUAUUUUGCCACUAUUAAUUACUCUAAAAGUAGAGUUAUCUCAGUUUACACGUGCCGAGCGCAGGCUCCACCUUUGAAACGCACUGAUUGGUUAUGUAAAUAAUGUGUUUUUUCCCCAUCUAGAUGCAGUGAUCUACUGUAUGGAUAAUUAAAUCAUCAAUCAAGGGGCUGGACUAUUUGAUGCUUUUGUUCAAAGCCAAUCGGCUUCCAAGUGACGGGUAAGCACAGAGCAAAGGAAAGAUGUUCAACAUCUGGAAAUCAGGAUUUUUCCAAUGGCUCUAGAUUAUUAACCAAUACUGAACUCGUGUCCCCGAGGACAUGCUUAUUUAAUAAUAUGUGAACAGCGUGUUUGCGGUCAAAACAUUAUUAUUAUUAUUAUUAUUAUUAUUAUUAUUAUUAUUAUUAUUAUUAUUAUUAUUGUUGUUGUUAUUGUUAUUAUUAUUAGGGGGUUCUGUAUGAAUUGAGUGUUUUAUUGCUUUUUAAAUAAAUAAGCGGCUAGUAAUAAUGCGGAAUGCUUACCAUGCUUUUAAAGUAAAACGGCUUAUUAUUAUUAUUAUUAUUAUUAUUAUUAUUAUUUCUAAAUAUUUUGCAAGAGGAUGACGGCACAUUUUGUCCUAUUUCCUUAUAUGUCUACUAAUUAUUACGCAGGCGUCCUGCGACAUUUUAAAUAAAACGUCAAUUACUUACCGCAACUUUAUGGUGAGUAUUCCUUGUUUCUCAUAUUAGGUUUUGCAGGAUUUUUUUGUAAAUAAGUUGUAUAGUACAACACAGGACAGAAAUCAUAAAUGUACUCCUCAGACUAAUUUCAUUCGCCAGAAUAUUGGUCAGGCACGAUGUCUGUAACGGGUUCUUCGCUGUAGGGAUUAGCACUGGUACUGACUAUCUGUGAUGGGUGUAUUAAUUCGUCUCUCAGGUGAUUGACACCCAUCGUUUUAAUAUUGUGCAUUGCCGAAAUGGCAUUGUAUAUGAACAUAUACCGGAAUAUUUAUAAAAAUGCAGCUAAAAAUUUAAUAACGAACGACGCAAAGUAAACCUGCAAACACGCGACUGUCUCUAAUGUCACCUGGAGUAAAGGCUGCCCUUUCAUUCGAACGGGAUGUUACCCUCGAAACACAGAUUAGUCAUUUGCUUUGGGUUCGUUUCACGGGCGUCCCAGGAGCGUUUUAUAAUGCCGUUACAAAGAUAAAACAGCAUAUUUUUCUUAAGUCAGGAAGAUUAAUUUCUACUCGAAUAAACAGCAAUACAAAUGCAAAUAGUUACAUUUUUAAUUAAAGUCGCCACCUCCGUUCUAUUUAUGAAGAGAAAACAAGUAAGCCCAGCAAAUGUGAUGAGUAGACAUAGAUAUUGUUUUGUGUGAAUGUAUGUGUAUUUUUGUAUACUUUUUGUAUAACAUGUAAUUGUACGUACACUGGUUAUUUAAAGUUUAAUGUGAUCCACGUAUGAUAUGCUGUUUUUACAUGUGCAAUAAUAAAACUACAUUCAGGCGAA
Paramormyrops kingsleyae is the source of this 2597-nucleotide long non-coding RNA. RefSeq lists it as uncharacterized. Lineage: Eukaryota; Metazoa; Chordata; Actinopteri; Osteoglossiformes; Mormyridae. The record is from RefSeq and is a predicted model, not a curated record.